CUCAGUCACAGUGGAGAGGGAACCUCAGUGUAGAUAAACCCCUCAGAGGUCUCAGUCACAGUGGAGAGGGAACCUCAGUGUAGAUAAACCCCUCUGGGGUCUCAGUCACAGUGGAGAGGGAACCUCAGUGUAGAUAAACCCCUCUGGGGUCUCAGUCACAGUGGAGAGGGAACCUCAGUGUAGAUAAACCCCUCUGGGGUCUCAGUCACAGUGGAGAGGGAACCUCAGUGUAGAUAAACCCCUCAGAGGUCUCAGUCACAGUGGAGAGGGAACCUCAGUGUAGAUAAACCCCUCUGGGGUCUCAGUCACAGUGGAGAGGGAACCUCAGUGUAGAUAAACCCCUCUGGG
Oncorhynchus keta (chum salmon) is the source of this 348-nucleotide long non-coding RNA. RefSeq lists it as uncharacterized. The transcript has 3 exons. Lineage: Eukaryota; Metazoa; Chordata; Actinopteri; Salmoniformes; Salmonidae. The record is from RefSeq and is a predicted model, not a curated record.